UUCCCAUGCUGGGGAUAGAACCCUGCCCGCCUGGGUGAAAGCCAGGAAUCCUAUAGGAAUCCACUAGACCACAUGGGA
Non-coding RNA from Araneus ventricosus, 78 nucleotides. The record is from the annotation of a GenBank genome assembly. Lineage: Eukaryota; Metazoa; Arthropoda; Arachnida; Araneae; Araneidae.